AUUGAACGCUGGCGGCAGGCCUAACACAUGCAAGUCGAGCGGAUGAAGGGAGCUUGCUCCUGGAUUCAGCGGCGGACGGGUGAGUAAUGCCUAGGAAUCUGCCUGGUAGUGGGGGAUAACGUCCGGAAACGGGCGCUAAUACCGCAUACGUCCUGAGGGAGAAAGUGGGGGAUCUUCGGACCUCACGCUAUCAGAUGAGCCUAGGUCGGAUUAGCUAGUUGGUUGGGUAAAGGCCUACCAAGGCGACGAUCCGUAACUGGUCUGAGAGGAUGAUCAGUCACACUGAAACUGAGACACGGUCCAGACUCCUACGGGAGGCAGCAGUGGGGAAUAUUGGACAAUGGGCGAAAGCCUGAUCCAGCCAUGCCGCGUGUGUAAGAAGGUCUUCGGAUUGUAAAGCACUUUAAGUUGGGAGGAAGGGCAGUAAGUUAAUACCUUGCUGUUUUGACGUUACCAACAGAAUAAGCACCGGCUAACUUCGUG
This 483-nucleotide ribosomal RNA is filed under the name uncultured bacterium. RNAcentral's name for it is "partial 16S ribosomal RNA". It matches the Rfam family "Bacterial small subunit ribosomal RNA", at positions 30 to 507 of the family's 1533-position model. The record is from RNAcentral.